GUCUAUAGCCAUGCCAUCCUGAACAAGCCCGAUGUCUGAUCUUGGAAGCUAAGCAGGGUUGGGCCUGGUUAGUACUUGGAUGGGAGACUACCUAGGAAGUCCAGGUGCGUAGGCA
This 115-nucleotide ribosomal RNA is filed under the name Pteropus alecto (black flying fox). Lineage: Eukaryota; Metazoa; Chordata; Mammalia; Chiroptera; Pteropodidae. The record is from RNAcentral.